AAUAUUGGACAAUGGGGGGAACCCUGAUCCAGCCAUGCCGCGUGCGUGAAGAAGGUCUUCGGAUUGUAAAGCACUUUAAGUUGGGAGGAAGAGUUGUAGGCUAAUACCUUGCAAUUUUGACGUUACCAACAGAAUAAGCACCGUCUAACUUCGUGCCAGCAUCCGCGGUAAGACGAAGGGUGCGAGCGUUAAUCGGAGUUACUGGGCGUAAAGCGCGCGUAGGUGGUUCAGUAAGAUGGAAGUGAAAUCCCCGGGCUUAACCUGGGAACUGCUUUCAUAACUGCUGAGCUAGAGUACGGUAGAGGGUAGUGGAAUUUCCUGUGUAGCGGUGAAAUGCGUAGAUAUAGGAAGGAACAUCAGUGGCGAAGGCGACUACCUGGGCUAAUACUGACACUGAGGUGCGAAAGCGUGGGGAGCAAACAGG
This 424-nucleotide ribosomal RNA is filed under the name uncultured bacterium. Its description in RNAcentral is "partial 16S ribosomal RNA". It matches the Rfam family "Bacterial small subunit ribosomal RNA", at positions 360 to 776 of the family's 1533-position model. The record is from RNAcentral.